This 253-nucleotide ribosomal RNA is filed under the name uncultured bacterium. RNAcentral's name for it is "partial 16S ribosomal RNA". It matches the Rfam family "Bacterial small subunit ribosomal RNA", at positions 524 to 776 of the family's 1533-position model. The record is from RNAcentral.
UACGGAGGGAGCUAGCGUUGUUCGGAAUUACUGGGCGUAAAGCGCGCGUAGGCGGCUUAUCAAGUCAGGCGUGAAAUUCCCGGGCUCAACCUGGGGGCUGCGCUUGAUACUGAUUGGCUUGAAUGCGGGAGAGGAUAGUGGAAUUCCCAGUGUAGAGGUGAAAUUCGUAGAUAUUGGGAAGAACACCGGUGGCGAAGGCGGCUAUCUGGCCCGUAAUUGACGCUGAGGCGCGAAAGCGUGGGGAGCAAACAGG